Molecule: long non-coding RNA, 2060 nt
Organism: Symphalangus syndactylus (siamang)
Lineage: Eukaryota; Metazoa; Chordata; Mammalia; Primates; Hylobatidae
Source: RefSeq, a predicted model, not a curated record
UACAGAUCAGCAUCCUGAAGGUAGGGAAGAACAAAUGACUUGUUCAAGGUUACAAAGAUAAAUAAGUGGCCAAGCGAGAGUCUGAAAGUACAUCUUGAUGCUAUCACCUCGCCUUUCCUGCCACACCAUGCGCCUUUGAAAACCAAGGACCUGGAACCUAGCAGCUGCUCACUAAAUAGUUGUUGAAUAAAUGACCCAGCGAGGUAUCAAAUGCAGCAUUUUUCUUGCCAACACUUCAGUUCUACCCCGAUGAACGACAGGACAUGACAGAAGUAACUCAAGAACUGGCAGAUUCUCCAAGUCUCAACUUGCCAUCCAGUGACCUCGGCCCUUGGUCUCAGUAUCCUCAAGGAAUAUUUACCAUCAUGCUAAAGGAAAAAGUAUCAUCUAUAAGGGACAAAAAAAUUUACAUUUGUCCAGCUGAGGAAGAGGAUGUGAAGAGACAUAGAAGUCAGGAAAUACAAAAUGAAUAAAUGUGUCCACAACACUGUGGCAAAUCCAAAGGGAAAAGGAGCUUCUGAGAGUGGACCCUACACCACUUCCCCUUUAGGGCAGCAUGUGAGUAUCUGCCUACGCUGGUGGCAGGACAGACACCUUUCCAAGCUUUUGGGAGGGCAGGAUCAGAACUGGACUUCAUUCCUUGACUGCUAGAUGGGAGUGCUUGUGAUGGAAGGAUAGAAGGAGCCAUUAAACAGUGAAAAGAUACUCUUACGAUGGCACUGAUGGAAAAACAGAUAUGGAGAGGCGAUAAUUCAUAUCAUAUACUCAAGUCAAAAACAGCAGCAGCCUAACAAGACAGUGUUUCACUGAAAAGAACACCCAGACAGAAACACAAAAUUACAGGUAUGAAGUCACCUCUCCCAUGAUGUGUAACUUCUGAGCCAAGAAAUAGGAUUACCGUGACAAAAAGAAUAACACUAUCCAUCUAGAGCUCUUUUCUCUCCCCAGCAAUAUAUUUGAAAUAGUAAUUUUUUGUACUUAAUCAUCAGCAGAAAAUAAGACAUGGAACCAUUUUUCAAAAGCAGCAAAAUGUUUUUCUAGUUUAAUACAUUCUCUGAGAACUGGAUCUUCUCUUCGCUGCAGAUAAUGAAAAGGUAAGCAGAUUUACGCAGAGGAUAGGCCUUUCAAGCAAAGAAGUAACUUCUGCCAAGCUCUGAGGGCGGGAUCUAAUACACUUUGUCCUUCAAGGACUGAAGCCUAAGUCAACCUUGACCCUGACUCUGGGCCGGACCCUCCACCUUGUUCUCCUAAUCACAGAACAGUUUUCCUCUGUUUCAGGGAAGGUUGCCAGAUAGAAGCUGCCUCUGAGACCUCCAGCUAGAUGAUUUUCCUGAUGAGAAGGAACAAAGAAAGAUACAGUUUUCUUCUUUGUUUUUUUCCUGGAAAGGAUGAAAAUAUUAUUAUCUGGACCUGUCAAGGUUGUCCUGCAUUGCUUUUUUACACUUUACACGGUCACAUUUCAGUGCUGUUGGUAAAUAGAGAUUCAAAUACUAGGAAGAGACGCGAAAGAGAGAUUGAGAGAAGACCAGGGAAAUAAUGCCAACAAAGCAGAGUCAGAUCUAAGCACUAAGAAGGCAAGGGCAACGCAGGGGCUGUGGGGAAGGGAGAGAAGAGAAAACAAAAAAACCUCCACGGCAAGAAGGAGGAAGAAACAGAUUAUGAAAGGAAGACAUACAGAAAGACAGUAAAUGUGAGUGGGAGAGGGCCCGGAGUAUGGAUAAGCCUGAAGCCAAUUACCCAAAGUCAAGGUUAUUUACACACCUGUCUUUCAUUCCCAAGCUAAGUACUUAAGAGAAAUAUUUUCAUUUUUAUCAGAGGCAAAAUAGUAAAGGUCAUGCAGUACAGAGGUUAAGGCCCGGGUUAAAUCCCAGCUCUUUCAUUUAUUCACUGCGUAGCCUUGGACAUGUUCCUUAACCUACACCCCAGGUUCUUCCUCUGUAAAAUAAUAAUAAUAAAACAUAAUCAUUAUAAGGAUUUAACAAGUACGUACAGUACUUAACACAGGGACCAUUCCUACUAAGUAGUCAAUAAAUUCUAGCUAUUAUUAGAAAAGGACAUCG